Molecule: long non-coding RNA, 557 nt
Organism: Microcebus murinus (gray mouse lemur)
Lineage: Eukaryota; Metazoa; Chordata; Mammalia; Primates; Cheirogaleidae
Source: RefSeq, a predicted model, not a curated record
CUCUGGGCUGUUGUUGGGAGGCCUCACCAACCACUCAGGAGCUCACCAGCAGUCUGAGAUACAGGGAGCAGCAAUUUAACCACUCACCCUUGUCGCUGUUCUCCAAGCCUCUCGGGGACCUUUCUCCUUCCAGUUCUCCUCUGCAACUUCUUCUCGUGGAGUCUCCUGUCGUUUCAGUGCAGGGUGCCUGGGAUGUAAAGUGAGGAAACCCGAACAGCCCAUAAUUUGGUGAGAUAAACAAGAGUCAUUGAGCAACAUGGAGGAACCACAGUAAGCAAGUCAGUAAGCAGAUAAAACACACAGCGACAGGUGCUUCUCCAAGAAAAAAGCCUGUGCAGGCUAGGUUUCUUUCUGAUGUGGGAUGUUGAAGCAGCAGAAAACUCCCAGGAUUUCAUCUUGGAUGCCCAGAACUCCAAGGGUGCUAUUCUGUGGGCCUUACAGAGUUCACCACAUUGGAGGCCUCCACCUAUUUCCUCCUUACCCUCAGAGCUUGCAUGUAUCUAGCAGUCAUUAAAGCUGUUCAGAUAUUCUACUUCUAUGCCUCUGAGGCAUAUGUC